AAAUGUUCGGACCUCAUAACAUUUCAUCGGUAAGUUUGUUUUUUCUUUUAAAUAAGAAGGCUAUGUUUAGCAUUGUGUUUAUGUUCAGAAUUAGUGCUAACAAGAAAUGGAUUAAAAUCAAUUGUGAACUACAUAAAAUCUCCCAUURAUGGAGGGUGAAAAAUAAACUUUUUGCUUGUGUUUUUUGUAUUUCUGUUGAAUCAAGGUGUGCCAUUAAAAUAAAGACAGAAGUGUUGAUUUGCACUCCUGAUUGCUUACUAAAGUUUUGUAACAGUAAGUAUGUAAUAUUUACACAACACACACAUUGUUAUUUAUCUAAAUUUAUUAAGCAAAAGAAAAAAGAAAGAAAAAAUACCCUGACAUUUGCUUUGUGGAUUGCUUGCCAAAGCUCUGUAACAGUAAAUAUAUUUAUUUUUGACAUGUGGUAAUAUUUUUAUCUAUCUAAAUUUAUUUCAGUGUCAUCUUUGUUUUUAAAACUAACUGUGCAAUCCUGUCCUUGCACACAUCCACUCGUGCUACAGCAGGUGGAUACUGUCUUUGACAUUUUUAAUUCAAGAAAUCUACACUGCAGUGGUUACAAACAUCCAAUAUGCCAGAGCAACUGCUUGGAAGCACUUGAGUGUGUUUGACUUCAACAGAGAGUUUUUUCAGAUUGGUACCARAAGUUCUAGUCAACCAAAGUUUCUCCCUUGGAGCUGUUCUUCAGUGCAGUAUGCAAAGCGGGUGGAUUUAACAACAACCCAAGCUGUCGUCAGUUCAUGGCAAUCUUCCGUAAGAUGAUUGUGCACAGCGGGGUAUCACCAUCUUCAGCUGGAAAUGUUGACUCCAUGGACAGCACACAGUGUCUCUGGGUCAAUGAUGUCAUGCCACACGAAGCAGCUGAGUCAACUUUUAUGGAUAACAACAUCGACCACACGUACAGCACAUGGAUCUCACCAAAACUUGCUCCRUUUGCUGUGAACAUCAUAACAUACAUUGCAGGUUUUAUGGUGCGCCAGAAUGUAACUGAGGUGUGUUGUGAUGUGUGUAAAUCAUCUUUGGUCUCUAAUGCUGUCUAACCUCAAUAUGAUGAUUUGUAUCAGCUGCUUCAAAAGAAAAAUAAAGGUGGGCUUGUUACACCCUCA
Molecule: long non-coding RNA, 1124 nt
Organism: Austrofundulus limnaeus
Lineage: Eukaryota; Metazoa; Chordata; Actinopteri; Cyprinodontiformes; Rivulidae
Exons: 3
Source: RefSeq, a predicted model, not a curated record